UACGUAGGGUGCAAGCGUUGUCCGGAAUUAUUGGGCGUAAAGAGCUCGUAGGCGGUUCGUCGCGUCGGCUGUGAAAUCCCGAGGCUCAACCUCGGGUCUGCAGUCGAUACGGGCGGACUGGAGUACUGCAGGGGAGACUGGAAUUCCUGGUGUAGCGGUGAAAUGCGCAGAUAUCAGGAGGAACACCGGUGGCGAAGGCGGUUCUCUGGGCAGUUACUGACGCUGAGGAGCGAAAGCGUGGGGAGCGAACAGG
Molecule: ribosomal RNA, 253 nt
Filed under: uncultured bacterium
Lineage: Bacteria
Description: partial 16S ribosomal RNA
Rfam family: Bacterial small subunit ribosomal RNA
Source: RNAcentral